UAUCAAUUUAAACACUAUCCUCAUCAUCAGGCCUAACUAUCAGUAGAGCAUGACUCUGACUGCUUACCUAUAGACAAUGGGGAAUAAGUGCUGUUUCUUUUUUGCAUUUUCCACUCCACUUCUUCUUCUUCUUCCUCUCCAUCUCAGUUACAAUUGUACAGAAAGAUGCGUAAAUUACUUGUCAUAGCCCUGCUGCUGCUGCUGCCUCUGAUCAACCACGGAAUCUACUUGGCAACGGCAUGGGACGAUAAAGAUUUCUUCAAAUAUUGCCCACCAUCCCAGUGCAGCGAACACGGCCCAGAGAUCAGGUAUCCUUUAUGCCUUGAAUCCAGCAAUACAUCAUCAUGUGGUUGUGGUGACAGAACAACCAGGAAGUUAGCAUGCUCUGGUCAAGACACCAUCCUUUUUCACCCCGUUCUUGGCCCAUACAAUGUUAGCGCCAUAGAUUACAGGCGUUCUUCAAUGAAGAUUAUCCCGCUUGUAGACCCAUGUUUGGUGCUCAAGCAGAAGCUCGUCAUCUCCAGAAACUCAUCAUCUCAACAAGUUGAUGUUUUCAACGAUAAGAUGCCAAGUCUUGACUUUUGGAGUUCUACAGCCCUGGUAAGCUGUUUAAGAGAGUUUGCACCUGGUGCUGCCGAUGGGAUUGCUGGCCCGGUCUCCUGCCUUAGCAACACAACCCACUUCUUUUAUUUGGUGGAUGGUGUUGAAGACAUGUCUUCUCUUCCGUUGGACUGCAAGGUCAUCCCAGUCUCAGAUGGUGUCCGUGGCAGUCUGAUACCCAUGUAUUGGAUUUGCGGCCCAUUAUACUUCCCACAGCACUUCAAGAAACAUGCAGAAACAUUCCUCAGUUCUGCUGAGACCACGGUGUGUUUUGGUUCUUACCCUUGCGGACAUUGUGAGCGCAGUGGGCGAAGCUGCGCUUUCAGCUCAGAACGGAAUGAACAAUUCUGUAUGCCUGGCGGUUCCCGUAUCAAAGUCAUUGCAGCUACAUCAUCGGUGGCCGCAUUUGUUGUUCUUUUGUUAACGGUGGCCACUGUGCUUUAUCUUUCACUCAAGACAAGAUAUAACGCGGAGAUACAUUUGAAGGUUGAAAUGUUUCUCAAGACAUAUGGAACAUCGAAACCCACGAGGUACACUUUCUCUCAAGUUAAGAAGAUGGCAAGACGGUUUAAGGAAAAAGUAGGGCAGGGAGGAUUUGGAAGUGUAUACAAAGGCGAGCUACCAAAUGGAGUGCCCGUGGCAGUCAAGAUGCUAGAGAACUCUAGAGGAGAGGGAGAAGUAUUCAUCAACGAAGUUGCAACAAUCGGACUAAUCCACCAUGCCAAUAUUGUCCGCCUCCUGGGAUUUUGUUCCGAAGGAAUGAGACGGGUUCUUAUUUACGAAUUCAUGCCUAACGAGUCACUGGAGAAAUACAUAUUCUCUGAUGACCCUAACAUUUUUCAGAACCUUCUGGUACCAGACAAGCUGCUAGAUAUUGCUUUAGGCAUCGCCAGAGGAAUGGAGUACCUGCAUCAAGGGUGCAACCAGCGCAUCCUCCACUUUGACAUCAAGCCUCACAAUAUCCUUCUCGACUACAACUUCAACCCAAAGAUCUCAGACUUUGGCCUUGCAAAGUUGUGCGCGAGGGACCAAAGCAUCGUCACCUUAACCGCAGCAAGAGGCACGAUGGGCUACAUUGCACCAGAGCUAUACUCUCGCAACUUUGGGGGAGUAUCGUACAAGUCAGACGUGUUCAGUUUCGGCAUGCUGGUGCUAGAGAUGGUGAGCGGAAGGAGGAACUCAGAUCCAAGUACUAAGAGUCGGAACGAUGUUUACCUCCCGGAGUGGAUCUACGAGAAAGUGAUCAAUGGGGAGGGUUGGCGCUUACUCUGGAAGCGACUCAAGAAGAGAAAGAGAAGGUGAGGCAGCUGGCGAUGGUGGCACUGUGGUGCAUCCAGUGGAACCCGAGAAACCGGCCGUCUAUGACAAAGGUUGUUAACAUGCUAACAGGGAGGCUGCAGAGUCUGCAGAUGCCACCAAAGCCGUUCGUCUCAUACGAAAACGAGCCUGUGUCGUAAUAAAUCAGAGGAGGGACUACAAUACUCUGUCAGCAUUCAGGGACUGGUAUAUAUACUCUGCCAACACUGCAUCUGGAGGUGUAUGAAUAAUCACUGGUCAGCGGUCACUACCACUGUAAUAGUAGUACGGUACAAUGCAAGAUACAGGAUUUGUAGUUGGACUUGUAUUUUAACAGCUACUCCCAUAUUUAUCUCUACAUAAGUUGCGAAUAGCUCGUGUAAAA
Hordeum vulgare subsp. vulgare (domesticated barley) is the source of this 2281-nucleotide RNA transcript. It is a transcript of the gene named rust resistance kinase Lr10-like, with no coding region annotated. The record is from RefSeq and is a predicted model, not a curated record. The transcript is spliced from 3 exons. Lineage: Eukaryota; Viridiplantae; Streptophyta; Magnoliopsida; Poales; Poaceae.